AAUUUAUUUACGUAGCAGUGACUGCUUACAUUCCGUGUUACAAGAAGUUCGCGUUACCUGCGCUAAGGCUGAGUAGCGCUUCGCUUUUGAACCUGUGAAACAUUGUUUUCGCCCUUUUUCGCACUCUCUAUAUUUGUGUCGCUUUUACAUGUUGUUUAUUGAUAUCCAUGUUGUCAUUUGCUUCAUUUUCUAGGUGUGACGUAUGGCGGAAUUACAUCGAAAGGGCAGACCUCGAGGGACUUACACGGGAGCAAAUGUACAACGGCUACCGCCUCUGCUAGGACCACUUCGCCGAAAGUGCCUUCGCAAAUCCUGCCAAAACACGGCUCUUGUGGACGGCUGUUCCCACUGUUGCAGUGGAAGUGGGAUCCCCGAUCGAUGAAGGACCCUCCCUGGCAGAAGCCACGGCUGCUGCGGCUCAAGAACACCCUCGCCAAAAGAGCAUCGCCCAGAUUGCAGGUAUGCACAGGCCGGCUUGUUGAUUUUGGGCAUUAAGGAAGGGGCGCGUAU
Rhipicephalus sanguineus (brown dog tick) is the source of this 510-nucleotide long non-coding RNA. RefSeq lists it as uncharacterized. NCBI's taxonomy places the organism in Eukaryota, Metazoa, Arthropoda, Arachnida, Ixodida, Ixodidae. The record is from RefSeq and is a predicted model, not a curated record. The transcript has 2 exons.